Daktulosphaira vitifoliae (grape phylloxera) is the source of this 782-nucleotide long non-coding RNA. RefSeq lists it as uncharacterized. The record is from RefSeq and is a predicted model, not a curated record. The transcript is spliced from 4 exons. NCBI's taxonomy places the organism in Eukaryota, Metazoa, Arthropoda, Insecta, Hemiptera, Phylloxeridae.
UUUUCUCCUACCGAUUAUCACCUUCAUACGUGUAAAAAAAAAAUCAAUUUUGCUAUAUAAGUGGAGAAACAGCAUAUAUACGUUUAAUAAUUCGUUUUCAUGUGUUCUGCUAGUUUCUUUAUGUUCAUCAGUCUUAUUUUUUAAUACAGAAGAUCGAAAAUCAUUAAUAACUAAAAUUAUUUCAGUAUAUUCCUUGAGUUACAUUUCAAAUUGGGGAGAAAUAAUUCAAAAAUCGAGUUAAAGAAUAUAUUUUCACUGUGUUCAUUUGCAAAUAUUGAAAAUAAAUUUUUCAUCGAGGUUUAAAUUGCUCUUUUUGUUAAAGAAUAAAAAUCACAUCGUAAAAAUUUUAUACAAUGCAUCUUCCAUUAAGCCUAAAUGAUGUCGAAGACAUCGUAAAGUACUUGAAAGCGCAAAAUGUUUGCCAAUUUAAUAUAUUGGCAGACAUUUUGUACGAAUCCAGAAAUUUUACGGUGUCUGAGAAAGGCAUUAAAUAUGAAGAUGCAUUAAAAACUCCCGUGACGCUUGAUAUGAUUAGAAGUGACUGUCAAAUUUAUAAAUCUGAAAUCCGUUCAGGCGUAUACAAUUUAUUGUUUGGGGAAAAAAAUUAUUUGAAGUUCAAUUUUUUUUCUAUAUUAUCACAUAAUGUAAAUAAUGAAAUUAUGUACUCCAUAUGCACAACUGACGAUUGCAUACGUGAUAUGGCGUAUGAUCAAGAUAGCUUUACAAUAAAAUAUAUUAAAGAUCAAAUAUGUAUUAAUCAGAAUAGCAUGUACUAUUUAAUU